CUCUCUUUUAAAAGUUUCACAGUUGCCUUUCGGGUGAUGCAAUUAAAGCGUUUUUACUUUGCUGUUGCACAUACCUGUAACUCCAGCAUCCGGCGUGAGCAGGCCGGCCUGGACUACAUCGGAAGAACUUCUCUCAAAAAAAACCCAAAAAACAAAAAACAAAAAAAAAACCCAAAAAACUACCAAAACCCCACCUUUCGUGUGUCUCAAAAUAACAGUGUAGAAAUUAAGAGUUGCUAUUUAGAAUAGUAGUAAAUGUGUGCUCACGCCUCCAACAAAAGCGGAUACUUUUUACCAUUCUUGUUAAAAUCAGGUGGAGCGCAAGAGUCCUUAUCAGCUGGGAACGGCUCGAAUCUAAACUGCUAAAGUAAAUCACGUGAAUUAUAUAUGUACUAUGAAAAAAACUCUUCUGUCUUAAUUUCAACACGGCCUCAAUUGAUGGUUUUUGAGUUUUUUUGUUGAUUAAAAACAUCUUAAUGUUUUUUAUGAACGCUACCUUUUAAAAAGAAAUUAGUUUUAUUUAAACACAUUCAUAUUAAAUUUUUUUAGCAAAAUGCAGUUAUCACCAGGUGGAUUGUAGACUUCAUUAGUCAUUGUCAUUUAUAAUUUUUUCUAUUUUACUUUUAAGUGUGAGUUUUGUCUAUACAUGUCUCUUUACCAUGUACAUGCAAUGCCUGUUGAGGCCAGAAGAGGGCAUCCAAUCCCCUGGGAUUGGAGUUUCUGAUGGUGUAUGGCUGCCCGGUGAGAGUUGAACUCAGGUCCUCUCAGAGCUCUUGACUGCUGAGACAUAUCUCUUCAGCCUUUAAUCCAGAUUUUAAAAAUCGAAUUUACUUGUCUACUUUGUGUGUGUGUGUGUGUGUGUGUAUGUAUGUGUGUGUAUGUAUGUGUGUGUGUAUGUGUGUGUAUGUAUGUGUGUGUAUGUGUGUGUAUGUAUGUGUGUGUGUGUGUGUAUGUGUGUGUGUGUGUGUGUGUGUGUGUGUGUGUGUGCGUGCGCAGAGAGAUCAGAGGGCAGCUUUCACAGUUGCCUCACCUUCCACUUUUGCCAUCCAGGAUUGAAAUUCAGGAUGUCCAGUGCAGCAGUAAGUGUCUGCCCACUGAGCCAUCUGGCUGGUCCUGAACUUGCCUUUCAGGGCGAGAACACUGCAAGGAAAGUUUCUUCCCAGCAGGGCAUGUGUAAAAGAGGUUUCCAGAUAGGGAUGCUCUGGUUGUAAAUGGAGGUCCAGCCGUCUGGGUCUGGGUGGUUCUGGGGCACACUCAGGGAACUGCCAUGCUGAUUAAUCCUUCCAGGCUGUGUCAACAUGUUCUAGACUUUUCUGACUUUUCCUUACAACGUAGGUGCCUGUGAACAUGUUUUUCCCUUAGUUCCCCAUGUAACCUAUAUGGACGAAGGCCCUCACAGGAGGAACAGAGGAACACAUCUUGAACUAUUUACCGUUUGGGGGAACCUGUCUGUGCAGCUGGGACCUGUGUGUGGACAGGAGCUGUGAGGGCCAUGCCUUCCUAGGUUCCAGUGCCAGUCAGAGGCCGUUUGAUAACUUCUGUUUUCGGUGGUGGACAGUGGUUUUGUCUUGGGGUUUCUAUAACCGAUGAAACACCGUGAGCAAAAGCAAGUUAGGGAGGAAAGGUCCUAUUUCCCUUCAGGAAUUCAGGGCAGGAACUCAACUAGGACAGGGGGUAGGAGUCAUGGAGGAGUGCUGCUUCCUGGUUGUUCCUCAUGGCUUGCUCAGCCUGCUUUCUUAUAGGACCCAGGACCAUCAGCCAAGGGAUGGAACCACCCACAGUGGGCUGGGCUCCCCCUCAUCAAUGACUGAUUAAGAAAAUGCCCUGCGGUUCUGUCUACCAUGUCCUGAUCUUGUGCAGGCUUGUUUUCCCAGUUGCCAUUCCUUCUUCUCAGAUGACUCUAGCUAAUGUCAAGUUGGCAUAAAGCCUGCCAGCACAAUUUCAUUUCAAAUUAGUGCAUGCUUAGAGGUACCUGGAAACGGGGAUUUUGUACUAGGGAACAUUUUAGCAAUGUCUUACUUUAUGUUGGUCGUUUCUGUUAGGGGAAAGCUUCAAGCAGAUCUCAACUGUGAAGAAACAGUUCACCGGACACUGUUAUUAGUAGGUGGAUACAAUUAUGGUGUAGGGUGUUCAAAACAGAAGGUAGUCUUGGUGUAGCCUAAAGGAACAGAAGGACUAAGUCAGAGCUGCUCAAAAUCCACUCUUUCUGCCAGAAAGUUGUUCUAGAAGCCAAACCCUGCUAGCAAGCACUUGGGCAGAAAGUCCGCUCGGCUUUUAUUCUACAAAGGUGGUGAGUGUGUCUUUCCCCAUUUGCUGUGAUCCAACUUCAUAGUCUUCUGAGGUUGGCUGGUUUUUGUUUUUAUGCAUAUGUGUGCUUUGCCUGCGUCUGUGUCUGUGUACCAUGUACAUUCCUGGUACCCUUGGAAGCUGAAAGAGGUCAUCCCAUCUCCUGGAACUGGAGCUUUGUGCACUCUGGGAGCUGGGAACAGGACUUGGGUCCUCUGCAAGUGCAGGCAGUGCUCUUAACGACUGAACCACUUCAACCAGCCCAAUUCAAAGUCCUUUUUAAAAAGACUGUAAAUGUGAUAUCCGUUCAUCUUUUACCUCUGUGCGUUUAUGAAGUUAGAUAUGUCUAGAUUUUUUUUCAGUGUUUCUGAGGUAGCGUUUUAAAAAUUGUUAAUAUUUAUUGGGUCUAAUUUUAAUUUUAUUUAUUUUAUGCGUAUGGGUGCUUUGCCUGCAUGUGCAUUUAUGUAUCAUAUGGGUGCCUGGCCUUGAGUCCCCUGGGACUGGUGAUACAGAUUCUGGGUAUUGGGACUCAUACUCAGGACCUCUGGAGGAGCCUGAACUCUUUUAGUUGAGUGUGACCUUGAACCAUGAUCCUCCUGCCUCCACCUCUCAAGUGCCAGGAUUAUAAGAAGCCUGACUUAGACUUCGUUAAAUGAGUUGUGAUAACAAGAUGUUCUCGCUCCCCUGUGUCAUUGUCGUUUAUUUUUGUGUUUAUAGGAGCUUGUGUACGAUUAGCAACAUAGGAAGCUCGUUUCUUCCUUCCUCUGUCUGGACUCUGGGCUGCUGUAUGCAUGGCUACCCUCCUUACCUGUUUGGGCUUCCAUGCCCCACUGUGGACUUGAGGGUGUCCUGCCCAGGUACCUUGAGGGUACCUUGUUCACCUCCUUUCUUACCUUUGCCCUGGUGGUUCAGGUCUGCCCUCUAAGGAAGACAGGGGAAAGGAGCCAAUGUGCAUUUUAUAAAGCAGUAUUUUAUGUGCACAGAGAUUUGGAGAGUCCUGUGUGGAGUGCCUCUUGUUUUAUGGCCCCAGGGUAUGGAUCCCACAGGUAGCUGACCUGUUCGGAUCUCUAAGAGCACAGGCGUCUCAGCCAGCGUGUAUAUGUAGGACAGUGAAAGUCACUCAGGUGUUGGCUGAGCGUGCUGCUCCAGUGCUGUGAUUUGAUACCAGUACUAGGGGGUGGAGACAAGAGGGUUAACAGUUUUGAGGCCAGCCUGGGGUAGUUUUGAGACAAGCUAAACUAAGCAAAAAUCACCACGAAUGAAGGGAGGAAAUUGUAUUUGAGCAGGUAGAGUAAGGAAACCCCUAACCUGACUGCUCCAUUAUUAAAGGGAAGGUUCUUAUUGGGGAUGAGUGAGAGAUGAUAUCCAGAGGCCACUGGAAGAGUCUAGAGCAGAGAGAAGAGAAAGCAGACUGGACAUGGCCAGAGCUGGGGAAGCAGGAGAGAGCAAGACCGCAUACAGGGAGAGCCUCCCUGUUCACCUGUAGUGAGAGAGGGACUCGCUGGAUUGUAAGGAGGAUGAGUAACUGUGGGUACCAAACCUGUGAGCUAGAGAGUCUAGAGUAGAGGGGGUAAGGCAGACUGGGGUGCUAGUGUGGAAUUUGUAAUGUAUAAGAGAAACUUGUGAUACCGGGGGAGCCUGGAGGCCAGCAUGGGCUUCGAGAUGCUUCGAGCCAUAUGUCCCUUCCACCAGAGGUCAGGGAAAUGACUCCUUGGGGGGGACAGAAAACCUGUUUCACAGGUUCCUGAGGAACACUGGCUUCUACCAGUCAAAAAUCCUGCUAUUGACCAGCUGGACAUCUAACACAAAUGACCUCAGAAACACAAAAGGACAGGAAGAGAUGGGGUCACACCGGUGAGUCCAGGGGAGGCUUUCUUUCCUAAUGCUGUUCCUCAGCGGAUCCUUUGUACACAGGGAUUGAGGGAAAGCAGCCUAGAAGGGUCCUUUAAACACAGGAACCCAGUGCUCAGAUUCUCGUGUCCACCCUGUUCUGCUGUAGUGGCUGUGACUAAUACAUUGAGCGAUUCUGCAUGUGGGUCACACAAGUACGGUGAUUGCUCAUUUCUGUAUUUUAAGUUGGGUGUCCUUUUUAUGAACACUUUUAUUCUGCUUUUGAAGUCUGCUAUCUUUUGUUUAUAAGCAUGUACAUGAGGCUAUCUUUUAUCACUCUGAUGCCGUUUUGAUAAACAGAAAGCUAUAAAGUAAUAAUCAGAGGUUGUUGUGUAAUUAAAUAACUAAAGGUCCUCUGUGGUACCUGCUGCACUGAAACACUUUUUUUUUUUUUUAAAUAGAAGUAUCUAAGCCCUGUGGAUUUUAAUUAUUGGGAGGGAAGGCAAACUUCAAGCCUCCGCCUGGAAAGAAAGACUACUAAAUGAGACAGCAGACAGAGCCCUGGAGGACGCGAUUGAAACAUGUCACUAGAAAUGGUUUAAGUGGAGAGUUCUGGCCCUUUCAAAACACUGCCUGUCACUUGAGGAUUGGGUCACCUUGAAAUGUGUUCAUCUUUGAAUUAAAGGCAUGAAAAGGCACUUUGAAAAUUUUCAGUCGACUUUGGUGUGUGUUGUGAGCGUCUGUGGGGUGUACUUCCUCUGCUGUCUCCCCAAAACAGUCGGUUCCCUGGAAACCAAAGUGGUCGCAAGAGGAGGAUAAAUGUUUAAUCUCUGCGCCAACAACCCUACAUAGUUUUUUAAAAUGCUGAGCCACUUACAUCCCAACUCCUUGCUCUCUUUGUAUACUCGGGCUCUCCUCCUGCAAAGACAUGGCAGGCAGAGAGCCGCUGCUGGUAAUUGCUCUCCAAAAGGGCGCCUCGUGGCUGGUGCCAGGGUUGUCUUAGGCUCUCGCUAAUGAUGCCAAGUUACGCUCGGUGAAGGAAGGGAGACUACUGAAAUUAUCCAAUCAGAAGCCUGAUUCUGAUGAGCGUUUCAGUUAACACCUCAGGGACAUACUUUUGUCCUCUUCGUUCGGACGGGAUGCGUUUGUGUGUGUGAGUGUGCAGUUCAUUCGCGUGUCUACAGAGAAGUGUCUCAGCGACUAACAGCACUGGCCACACGCGCCUCAAAGCUUGACUUCAGUCCUAGGAACCUAGAUUAAAAAUAUCAGACACGUAUCUGUAAUCCCAGCCUCCUACAGUAGGAGGUGGAGACAGGGAAGCUACAGAAACUCUAGUGCCCUCUGUCCCUAAACAUUCAGCAGGGGAGAAAUAAGGACCUGUCCGAGGGAAAAGGAGAGAACCAACUGCCCUCCACAUAUGAACCAUGGCACACACAUGCCUAAUGUACACACUUUAAUAGACAAACAAGCCAUUUAAAAUGUAAAAAUGUCUACAGCUUAGUAGGGUUUUCUAUAGUUUGUUACAACUUUUUGGUAGGACUACACAGAGAAACCCUGUCUCGGGGGAAAAUGGAUCUUUCUGCUGUUAGUAAUUUAAUUAAUGUAAAGAAAAGUUGGAUGCCUGUGUCUCUGCCGUGUGACCUUCUUAUGUCCCUCUUCCUUAUCUAGCAGUGGUCCCUUCCCACAGUUUAACUUUCGCAAGCCAGGCUGAAACCAGACAUCUGCGAGUGGUCAUCGGAGACUCUCUGCUUGGCUGUGUGUGGUUUUCCCAGGUGCACUAGGGCCACUUUGAUCUUGACAGGGACGUCUGUGCCCUGGCUUGACCGUUCUUAUUCUGUAAGAAGAGUCUCACGUGUGUUGCUGUUUAAGCACAUGAUGAUAACCAGGAGGUGAUGCUUGUGUGGACCUGGGGGGGGGGGCUCUUUGUGUCUCUUGCUGUUUUUGAAAAUCUAAAGUUACUCUAAAAAGUAUGUUUGAAACAGAAGAAUCCGGUGUACAAUCUCUGAGACUCCGAGGGCUGUCCUGGCUCUGUAUUUGAGCUGCGUGAUCCUUCAGUGGCCGUUCCUGCAGCUGUGUGGGCUGGUGUUCUAGGCUUUCCCCUUCCUUGUCUUGCUGGUGGCAAGGCUCACUGGCUUCCCAGACCAGUCGGUUGCACGUUUUGCCCUCUAGUUGACUGAACAUGACUAAACGCUGUACCACACUGCCCUUCCCUCUAUAUGUCUCAAAUCUCAAUGUUGGGUGUCUCCCUUAGUUUUUCUCUCCCCGCCAUGCCAGUUAGGCUAGCAGCCAGCGAGAUCCCGGGAGCCUCCUGCCUUCGCCUCACUUAGAGUUCCUCAGUGCCAGGAUGACGUGUACACCACAGCACUCUGGUGAUUUAGGUGGAAGCUGAGUCUGGAGUCAGGUCCUUGAGCUUGCCAAGCCAGCGCUUCGCUGAUCAACAGAGCCGCCCAAGCACGGGCCUGUAUUGUGUAUUCACUCCUCUGCCUGACGGGGUACUGGUUACAGUCUUAAUGUUUGCUUCCAUUAGAGAUGUGGUGAGGGCUCCCCCCUUUCUGCUCUUCCCAGGCAUGUGGUCCAUGGCGUCGCUGUGAGGGCUCCAAGACUUUUGAUCCGCUCCAGGAAAAGCUUCCUUUCUUUGAACUCCUUGAUCGCAUUUGUCCUUUCGGAUUUGUUUGUCUUUUAAACUUGGUAUCAUCUCCUUCCGUUUCAUGUAACACAUAAUCUUCCUUGAACUUUUUUUCAGUGUUCUUGUUUGUGCACACAAGUCCUGGUGCUCAAAGAGACCAGAGCCAUUGGAUCCCAGUGGAGCUGGGGUUAGAGGCAAUUCUGAGUCUCCUGACGUGGGUGCAGGAAAUCAGGCUCUGGUUCUCUAGAACAGCGGUACAUGUGUCUCCAGCCCCACUCUAGUGAUUAUGGAUAUAACUUGGGCUUUAGAAUCUAGUGGCCUGAGUUUCCCUUGUAGGCCUGGCAGAUACUGUGUGACCUUGAACAAGUAAUUGAGUGUCUGGGCUUCAGUGUCCUCGAUCUGUAAUUCUACCCUGGAAGAGUGACUUAGGUCAGUCCCACCAUGGAAGACUGACUUUGGUUACCAUCAACUUGAUAAUUGAUUGAUCUCCACCAGUCAAAAAUUCUGGCUGCUUUUCUAUUUCCUUCUGACGUAAUCAACUCUCAUGAUCUCCAUUCCUCCCUGUAGGCACCCUUGGUCUCUUCCAGUCUCCUGAAGUACUCUGUCUCUCUGGUGCUGACGUUGUGUGUGUGGUAGUGAAGUUUACCAUUCUGGAGAUGGGCUCUCUUUGCUAGGUCUCUGUAUCUCUAAUAUCGAUUACAACAAUAGCGUUGUUCAUGGCACAGCUUUCUGUGUGUGCCCAGGGUUCCAUGUAUCCCAGAUGGACCUUAAGCUCUGUGUGUAGCUGCGAAUGACCUUGAAGUUCAGAUCAUCCUCCUUCCCUCCUGAGUGCUAGGAUUUAUGUAUGUAGCACCACAUAUGUGGUUUAUAUGGUGCUGAUGUCAAGUCUGUGCUUCUUGCUUGCUAGGGAAGCACUUUACCAGCUAAGAGACAGCCCUGAUACCCAUCCCUCCAUGGCCCUCUGGCUGACUAGUAUACCUGGACUUUCCUCUUCUGAGUUAUUGGGACCCACCCCAGCUUCUCCCACCUCCUCUCCAGCAUCACAGGGUGUGGGGGUAGGGAGAAGGAAGGGUUCUGUACUACCUAGGCAAUCCUGGUCUCUGGGUUGACUUUGGGACAUGCUGUCACAGUUCGGAACGCCUAAGACCUCAUCCACUCUGCUACUAGAAUCGUCACUGGUCUCGGAAGUCAAACUUAAAACCCUCACUCUGAUGACCUUUCCUCCUGCCUCUCUCUUAUGCCGAGGUGGAACCCAGGACAUCUUGCAUGCAAAGCAAACACCCAUCUCACUUUGUCCUUAGCCCUCCUGUAGAGAUUCAAAGCCAGGAGACAGCAAAUUGCUGUAAAAUUCAACCAUUUUUGUAUUUAGCUCUUGGAUGAUGUGAGGUGGCAUUCUAUGGGCACACAAAUGAGUCGCCCUGCUUGAAUCUCUAGCCAGUAAGAGCUUGAAUGUCAGGUGAUGUCAAGGAUGGCUCUCAGGAGGAUGGGGGACUUUUACUUCUGGUUGUGCCAGCCUCUUGUUAUCAGGGAUUCUUCCCCUCGGUAACAGGGUGGGAGGGAAGUAGGAUGUUCAGUUCUCAUCAGUGUGCAAAAGACGGACAGUCUAAAGCACUACUUCUUUAAGAAGCCUUAAAAGAUGGCAAAAUGGCACUUCAGUGGUACAGAUUCAUAUAUUCAUCUUGAGGGGACCCUGCCUGCUGUCUGUGGAAUCUGUCAUUCUUGUUCUUCUGUCCUCUCCUCUGCACCCCCAAUAUUAAGGGCUGCCCCCACCCCUGCUUAUCUUCCUGUUUCUCUGGCUGCUAAACCCUGCCCUGCCCCCUGGGGCAGGUUCCUCUAAGUAUGGAAAAAAACUCAGCUGGUCAUGUGACUUCCACCCACCUCAGGGGUCAGCAGGUCCGUGGGGCUGGCAGCAGGGAGCCUGCGUUCUUUCAGUUACAGUCACAAAAAAGCUGGAAACCUCUUAGUGGGCACAGCUUCCUUUUGGAGGGCACAGUGCUUUGAGGUUUUUGACGAUUGACACCGGAGUGUCUGAAAGUGCUGGGGAAACCGGCCCAUCUUGCCACAAAGAACUUCCUCCUAAAGAGAGAUGGUGGGAGAGCAGGUGCUUUGGGAAACAGCAUUUUGAAUCAGGGCCCAGCAGGUGGUGAUUUUCAGUCUAAUUCAGUCCAGGAGCACACACUCCCAGGCAGCCUGGACUGCCCUUGCUCAGUAAGGCUGCAGGGGCUGGUUUGCUUGUUUUGGGAAAUAAUAUCCUGUCUGCUUGUAGUUGGGUGUUAGUGCUUGUUGGCUGCCUGCUGUUGGAGGGGUAUGUCUACAGUCCUAGCUCCUUCUAUCUAUGAGUGAUGUGUGUGUGUGUGUGUGUGUGUGUGUACAUGUGUGUACAUGCACGUGCGUGUGCAUGCAUAUGUGUCUCUGUGUAUAUAUAUGUGUGUGUCUACAUGUGUGGGCAUGAAUAUGUAUGCAUGUGUUCAUGCAUGUGUGUCUCUGUGUAUAUAUGUGUAUGUGCAUGCAUGUGUGUGUAUGCAUAUAUGUGUAUGCUUGUGCAUGUGUCUCUGAACAUAAAUGUGUAUUUACAUGUGUGUGCAUGCAUAUGUGUGUAUAUAUAUGUGUGUGUGUACAUGUGUGGGCAUGAAUAUAUAUGCAUGUGUUCAUGCAUGUGUGUCUCUGUAUUUAUAUGUGUAUAUGCAUGCAUGUAUGUGUGCAUAUAUGUGUAUGCUUGUGCAUGUGUCUCUGAACAUAUAUGUAUAUUUACAUGUGUGUGCAUGCAUGUGUGCGUGCAUAUAUGUGUGCAUGCUUAUGCAUGUGUCUCUGUACAUAUACGUGUGCUUGCAUGUGUGUGCAUGCUUAUAUGUGUGUGUGGACAUAUAUGUAUAUGUGCAUGCAUGUAUGUGUGUCUGUCAAUGAGUGUGAAUACAUAUAUGUAUAUCUGAUGUGUGUGUAAAAUAAUUAUUAAUAUUCAGUAUAUAUUGAUUAAAGCUGGAAAUUGAUAUGACAGCAGUUAUUCCUUGACUAGCUAUUUCCCCAAAUUAUCACAGAGACUUUUUAAUAUUUCAAAGUUUAGGCCUUAGCUGGGCAGACCCUCAGGUAUCUCAUCUAAACUAACCAGACCACGUAGCCCCAUCCAGCCACAUAGCUAGCUGUACCUUCUAGGCCCACAGUCAUGUCUUUCUCCUGUGAUGGCUACUGACAAAAGUACCCUUGUCUUUCUUCCCAGAGUUUCUCCCUCCCAGGAAGUCCUGCCUUCUCUCUCUACUGCCCAAUCACAGGCUUUAGCCUUUUGUUGACCAAUUAACUUGGGGAAUAAGUCUUCUGGCCCGGUGUAUCUGACAGACAUAUUUGCAAGGCAGGAGUUACGAAGGACUUGCCUACUGGAUCUUGGCAGAGCUAGGCAGUUACUUCUGCCUGUGUUCAAGUAUUGUCCAUUUUGGAGAGCAUUCUGUCAGCAGAUGAAGUUAGGGCAUUUUCUUUGCCUGGUGGCUUAGCCUGUCACAAAUGAAGCCAUCUCCAAAUGGGGGUCCUUUGAUGCGCAUCAUCUUUCAAGUUGAGCGGGGCGCUGUCUGGAGCUGUCAUGUGUCUAUGUCAAAAAACCCUCACAUCAAUAAAAGCACCUUUAAAUGCCA
Molecule: long non-coding RNA, 10362 nt
Organism: Rattus norvegicus (Norway rat)
Lineage: Eukaryota; Metazoa; Chordata; Mammalia; Rodentia; Muridae
Source: RefSeq, a predicted model, not a curated record